GAUGAACGCUGGCGGCGUGCCUAAUACAUGCAAGUCGAGCGAACAGAUGAGGAGCUUGCUCCUCUGACGUUAGCGGCGGACGGGUGAGUAACACGUGGAUAACCUACCUAUAAGACUGGGAUCACUUCGGGAAACCGGAGCUAAUACCGGAUAAUAUAUUGAACCGCAUGGUUCAAUAGUGAAAGACGGUUUUGCUGUCACUUAUAGAUGGAUCCUCGCCGCAUUAGCUAGUUGGUAAGGUAACGGCUUACCAAGGCAACGAUGCGUAGCCGACCUGAGAGGGUGAUCGGCCACACUGGAACUGAGACACGGUCCAGACUCCUACGGGAGGCAGCAGUAGGGAAUCUUCCGCAAUGGGCGAAAGCCUGACGGAGCAACGCCGCGUGAGUGAUGAAGGUCUUCGGAUCGUAAAACUCUGUUAUUAGGGAAGAACAAAAGUGUAAGUAACUAUGCACGUCUUGACGGUACCUAAUCAGAAAGCCACGGCUAACUACGUG
RNAcentral lists this ribosomal RNA (497 nucleotides) under uncultured bacterium. RNAcentral's name for it is "partial 16S ribosomal RNA". It matches the Rfam family "Bacterial small subunit ribosomal RNA", at positions 28 to 507 of the family's 1533-position model. The record is from RNAcentral.